UACAGAGGGUGCGAGCGUUAAUCGGAAUUACUGGGCGUAAAGCGUGCGUAGACGGUUAUGUAAGUCAGGUGUGAAAGCCCCGGGCUCAACCUGGGAAUUGCAUUUGAGACUGCAUAGCUAGGGUGCGGAAGAGGGAAGCGGAAUUUCCGGUGUAGCGGUGAAAUGCGUAGAUAUCGGAAGGAACACCAGUGGCGAAAGCGGCUUCCUGGUCCGGCAUUGACGCUGAGGAGCGAAAGCUAGGGGAGCAAACGGG
Molecule: ribosomal RNA, 253 nt
Filed under: uncultured bacterium
Lineage: Bacteria
Description: partial 16S ribosomal RNA
Rfam family: Bacterial small subunit ribosomal RNA
Source: RNAcentral